Non-coding RNA from Rhopilema esculentum, 888 nucleotides. The record is from RefSeq and is a predicted model, not a curated record. NCBI's taxonomy places the organism in Eukaryota, Metazoa, Cnidaria, Scyphozoa, Rhizostomeae, Rhizostomatidae.
AUAAAAAGCAAUUAAAAAUGAAAAGUUAGUAAUUAUAUAUAUACAAGCUAAUUUAGGCCUAUUUUGCAAAAAUUUAGAAUAAAAAGCAAUUAAGAGUUAUUUUAUAAUUAUUAAAAAAAAUUAGUUAUUAGUAAUUUAAAGUUUAUAGUUAGUUAUUUAAAAAGCAAGUAAGAGGUAUCACAGUUAUUUAUAUCUAAACAUUUUCUUUGGGUGUUUGUAGUGUAAUUCAAAAAUUUUGUUUUGAUAUAUGACGAAAGGGCUAAGAAUAUUUCAUUACCCUUUGAGGAAAAUAUUGUUGUUAGACUCAUGGGAGAUUUGAAUGGAUCUGCUAUAGCGGUUAAAAUGGAAUCCAGGUAUAUAUUAACAGCAAGAUAAAACACGCAAAGCAAUAAUGAACUUUUGUUCAUAACUUGCAUAAAAAGGGCCGAAAUCGCAGUAUGCACAGACGUUCCAUGAGCAAAGGAAGACAAACUUGACAUAAGUGAUCUGAGCAAAUAUGAAAUCAUUGAUCAUCCUGGUGCUUCUUGCACUUUUUUCAAUUGCUUAUGGCAAAGCUGUGAAAUCAAGGGAUGCCCGCUACUUUGGAAGGAUUCCCCGAUACCACUUAAAAGAACCCCGCCACUACGGAAAGGAUCCCCGCUACUAUGGAGAGGAUGCCGAUUUCUACCAUGAAAAGGAUCCCCGAUACCACGAAAAGGAUCCACGCUACUACGGAGAGGAUGCCGAUUUCUACUUUGAAAAGGAUCCCCGACAGUACAGAAAGGAUGCUUUUUCGGUUGGGAUUAGAGAGUAGCUUAUAAACAUGGAACUGACUUUUUCAUGCCAUUACUAGUGCUAUUAGUAAUUUUGAUGAAUUGAUAUAGCAAUGAACUGAGAAUCAUGACUUCA